CCUUCACUUUGUUCUUAUUAUUAUUUUUUUUGUCUUACCACCCACCACUUAUUUAAAUCACUAAUCUCUCUCCAAUUUCAAGUUCAGGAUUUUCUUUUAGCCAAAUAAAGAGAUCAAAAGAAAAAGAUGAUUGGACUGAUCCAAUCAAAUCGAGGUGAUCAAAUUUGAUGGUAGCGAUUGUGCCGUGGCUCAGUGAUAUCGAUUAGAUAUGAUCAAGACCGUAUGGACGAGCGACUAAAACCUACAAGACGGGUUCGAGGCACUAGAAGCAGAAUUGGGAAGAUGGAGAUUAAGGAGCUAAAGGGAGAGAGGAUUAGGUGUUGUCUGGUGUAUACAUGAAAGGGGUGUUUCAGGGCUGGAGUAAAACUGUAGCAGGC
This is a long non-coding RNA of Mercurialis annua (annual mercury), 377 nucleotides long. RefSeq lists it as uncharacterized. The record is from RefSeq and is a predicted model, not a curated record. NCBI's taxonomy places the organism in Eukaryota, Viridiplantae, Streptophyta, Magnoliopsida, Malpighiales, Euphorbiaceae. The transcript is spliced from 3 exons.